RNAcentral lists this unclassified non-coding RNA (2443 nucleotides) under Leishmania donovani. RNAcentral describes it as "gene:unknown". The record is from RNAcentral. Lineage: Eukaryota; Euglenozoa; Kinetoplastea; Trypanosomatida; Trypanosomatidae.
CCACGCCGGGAAAAUACCCUGUGCGCGUUUCGGGCGGGAGGUGCACACGCCGGAUGGAGGUGUCGCCACAACACUUCGGCAGCUCUCAUGCGGGCAUCGACUCUCGCGUUUUGCGAAGUUCUCGCUCUUGACAGGCGGCGCGGUGCAGACAGGCAUCAGGCGAGGAGCGGCGGCGAUGCUCUACAACAAUACUGCGCUGACACGUGCUGCGAAAACACACCGCGAGCCCUUGCGUGCAGUUGCCGCGCUGAGUGUAAAGCGAUGGAGCCGGGGCUCGGCCAACCGCGAAGAGAGCUGGAGCAGCGAAGGCGCGGGCGGUGAGGCGCGGCUGUUGCACACCGCCUCCCCCGCCCAUGGCACCCGACACCGGCCCCCGCAAGAGUAAAGGGUGCGCUUGUGUGUGGCAUACUGCGGCGUGCGGGCGGGGGCAUAAGCGCUGUCGCGACUGGCCUGUCGCGUGCGCCUCCGAUUUCAGCCUGCCUUUUCGCACCACGAAUGGGAACACAAGGACAGAGUGCACAGGCUUUCGAAAUAGGCAGCGCCGGAGGCGCCAUCACCAACUGCAUGGAUCACGGACCCGGCCACCGGCCCCAGACGCCGAGCCGACAUCCCCCGAAACCGCGCCGCCCGACGCAACACGCGACGACAAGGGCUGCUUGGCGGCGAGAGACCACCUCUGCUCGGCUGUGCACGAACACCUUUGCGCACCUUGGGCUCCCACAGCGACGGGCGACAGGCAGUGGCAACAUGGAGUGCAGACGGUGUGCUGCGCACGACUCCGCCAGCGUUGCGGCACCCCCAUCCCCGGCUGUGCUUGUUACGAGGGCUUCCGACCCAUCGUUGCGCCCCGGAAUGCCACGUGAGCCUCCCCGAUUCCUUGAAGCUCGAAGCGCGCCGAGUUUGAAGCCCCGGGCUUGCACGCAAUGACUUGGCCACGCACACCCCACCCGCGCUGCAUGAGCGUCCCCUCUCGGGUGUCCACGGAUGCUGCCCACUGUCUCCCCCAGAACGGCAGACUACGAGCCCUUGCGCUCAGGAACCUGCUCAUUCACGGGCCUCCUCCGCCUGAAACACCCGCACCUGGCCAAGGCAUGCGGGCUCAGAAGUGGGGGGGGUCGAUGCCCCCAUGCAGCCAUAGACCCACAGCGCCGCCUCACCUGUCGUGGCGCAUGCGGGCAGGUCAUCCCAGCGCGCCCCCGUGGCACGGACGGAAACGGAAGAUGCAGGCAGCGAGCCCCCCACCCCAGACAACAACGCCGUUCUGAAGCAAGCCCCCCCCCCUCCACCACCACACGUGCGAAGAUGCGGGCGCUGUGCGCAGACACUCUCGGGCACAACGCGCCUGGCGCAUCGCAUCCGAGCAAGGCAUGCAGCGGCCACAAGGGCACGGGUGAUGAACGUAGAUGGCGCGCAGAGACCCACACGGAUCAUCCCCAGGGCGCAUGUGAGCGAAACAUGCGGCACCUCCAACACCCGGCCCUGUGGACAAACGAGGCGCCAAUGCCGGAAGCAUGGCGAGAGCGCCGUGAAUAGCACCGUCGAAUUCUGCAGACCCGAAUGCCACGAUCCCCCAGGCCAUACUAUGGGAUACUGCGGCGUGAUGCGACUGUGGGGGAUGGGGCGGGCGAGGCAUGGCGCACAGGCGGGGCGCAGGGGCUCGGGGGGCCCUGGCCUGCGGCUGCCCGACUUUCUUCCUGAGCUCACCCGACAUGCGCCUGGACCCCGCCCCCUGCUGCCCUGCACGGAAGGCGCCACCUCUUGCUUCCCUCCGGCGGUGGACCCUGGGCGCGGCCCGCGUGGGUCAAGCCGUGCGGUGCCCCCGGGGCCGCCUGGCGCAGAUGAUGCGGAGUGUCCCGGAGGAAGGGGGCGAGAAGAGCCCAUUAGGCGCAUGGGCGGGCUCGGCGGCAGGACGGUUCGCCCUAGACGGCCGGGAUGGAGCCGUGACGCGGCAGCGGCGGAUGCGCGGCGGAUGCGCGGCGGCUGUGUUAGCCUGCGCCCGCGUACUUUUGGCGUUUAACAGGCGCGCCCCCAAAAAGUGGGAAAAGCAUCUUAUUCGUGAGAACAGGAUGCUUUUUUUGCCCCUUGUAAUUUUUUUGGUUGCUUUAAAGGUGUUUCUGUGGCAAAAAUGCGCGGGUAUCGUGUCUCUUUUUUUAAACGAAAAGUCCGCUGAAAAGGUUUUGGUGGUUGUUUUUUUUCUGUCGUGCGGCUUGGCGGGUUCAUUUUCCUUUUUUUGUGGGGGUGGGCGGGUGCUUUGCCGAAAGGCUUUCGCGAUUCGGGGGCGAAAUCUUCUGGUGAGGCGGGGCGCCGAUUACAAGGAGGCGUGGGGGGACAGGGCGUGGGGCUUUAGGAAAAGGCUGGCGGCGGCGCCGCCGGCCAUUUUUUCGGCGGCUUUUUGCCGGCCCAGGUAAAGAAGCCACCAUGUUUUCAGAAUAGGGUUUAUUUG